UUAAAAAUACCUUGCCAUAACAAAAGCACAUUCUAAGCCUUUCGAAAUACCAACAUAUUAAAAUAUAUUAAAGCAAUCUCUAUUGGGGGCUCUCCAUUUCGUUUUCAAAAUAACAAUAACAGCUAUUUAUAUUGUAUAAAAUCUUGCAUUGUAAUACAAUUUACAUUCUAUUCACAACUUCAAAGUGUUUAAAUAUAUUCAGGCAACCUCUAUUAGGAACCUCUAGUUUGUUUUCAAAAUAACAAUAACAGUUAUGUAUGCUCUACAAAAACUUGUAUUGCACUAUGAUUUCCAUUGUAAUACUGUUAUUCACAGAGAUUGAGAAUUUAUCACAAGUUGAUGGUCCUCAAGUGGAAGAGCAACUUCUUUCAACCACAGUUCAGCCAAAUCUGGAGAAGGAGGUCUGGGGCAUGGAGAAUAACUCAUCAGAAUCAUCUUUUGCAGAUUCUUCUGUAGUUUCAGAAUCAGACACAAGUUUGGCAGAAGGAAGUGUCAGCUGCUUAGAUGAAAGUCUUGGACAUAACAGCAACAUGGGCAGUGAUUCAGGCACCAUGGGAAGUGAUUCAG
This 567-nucleotide small RNA is filed under the name Pongo abelii (Sumatran orangutan). RNAcentral describes it as "retained intron". The record is from RNAcentral. Lineage: Eukaryota; Metazoa; Chordata; Mammalia; Primates; Hominidae.